GAUGAAGAACGCAGCGAAAUGCGAUAAGUAAUGUGAAUUGCAGAGUUCAGUGAAUCAUCGAAUCUUUGAACGCAUCUUGCGCUCCUUGGUAUUCUGAGGAGCAUGCCUGUUUGAGUGUCAUUAAAUUCUCAACUACACUGACUUUGAAUUGGUGUGGCUUGGAUUUGGGGGGAAAAUUGUUGUGGGCUUUUUGUAUAGUCUGCUCCCCUGAAAUUGAUUAGCGGUACCUUUGUGGAACUGUCUACAGGUGUGAUAAUUAUCUACAUCUUAGACAUCUGCUGGAAUGCUGCUUUCUAAACCUUACUUGUAUUGACAAUCUUGACCUCGAAUCAGGUAGGACUACCCGCUGAACUUAAGCAUAUCAAUAAGCGGAGGA
RNAcentral lists this unclassified non-coding RNA (376 nucleotides) under soil metagenome. RNAcentral describes it as "partial contains 5.8S ribosomal RNA, internal transcribed spacer 2, and large subunit ribosomal RNA". The stretch from base 1 to 120 matches the Rfam family "5.8S ribosomal RNA", at positions 35 to 154 of the family's 154-position model. The record is from RNAcentral.